CCUGCACCAACAGCAGCACCGUGCUGGCUGCUGCAGCAUUGAGUUAACAGCAGUGGUAAGACGGCGACCAUCCCUUCCUUCCUUGCUUGUUUGCAACGAUUUAAUUUUCACCUAGCUUGCUAGACUGGUUUGGUUUGGGGGUGCUCUAAUCUGAUCCCUUGGAGGUGGAUUCACUUCACAUGGAUGGAAACGGAUGCCCUUUAUUUUGUUUAUUCUGUAACAAAUUCCAAUCAGAAGAAUGUUGUGUCAGUUCACUUGUACACAUGUAUAAAAUAGAGGGGGUAAUUCGGUUCAGAGCGAGACACAUGGAUAGUUCAACCCUGUUUUUUUGUUGCUUCUGACAACAAAUUCAUCAAGCAAGCCAGGCAUACAAUGCUACGACUCACUUUUGCUGCUACGUUCACUUGCAACCAGAACACCAGGCCUAGGCUACAACAAACCAGAACACCAGGCCUAGGUCACGAUUCAGCUGAACAGUAGCCUUUUCUUCUGUGUUUAGAGAAGAAAGAAGCCGGUACCUACAGAUGGCAGCAGUUACUCAGUUGAAUCCCAACCUCUGAGUGCAUAGAAUCUACAUUGAUGUAGUUAGCCAUGGAAUAUAGGUCACUGUAUGGCACCAACAGCAUGUGAACCUGCUGCUUGGCGUCUCUAGGGAUCUCCCCCUGGUGGCGCCCUGGGGAGGCGUCGCGAGGGCAUUGGAAACUGCUUAUAUUAUUGAACCUAAUUAUGUAUAAAAUCCCCAUGUUUCUCUUGCUUGCUACUCAAAGCAAGAGCUGGUUGUCCUAAAAAACUUGUGAUAUGACACCGAGGUACUUUUCCCUGUAUGCCAGUGGUGCUAUCUGCAACCCAUUUGCUGCUACUCCUAGCUUACUUUAAAUUUGACUUCCAGUAGGCUUUAAUAUACACAUAACUUUCCAUUAUAUUGUGUUUUUGUGCCAUGGGCGAUGUUGGCUAUCCUCUGUGUGUGAACAUUUAGCUUACUUUUGCAACUAACUAUGAUUUUACAUUUAGCUUGCAAUAAUAUAAUAGCUGAUCCAUUUCAUUCUGAAGUUAAUCUGCUACGUCGCCUCAAAUUUGCAGCAACGCUAUUGUUGCUUUGGAAAUGCUAUUGGAUCUUAUAAAGAUUUUUGGACCUAUUAUUCAUUCGACAUUGUCAGCUAGCUCACUCGUUGGAGUAGAUCUUUACGCCGGAAAGAGGUAUGCUCCCCAAAUUUACUCGAAGAAGGGAGCUGGGUGUUGCUAAGACAGAUGUUGUCAAAACUUGUGUUGCUACAAGUCUACCAAGGAACUCAGUGCGAGGUGGCAAGUUGGACACAAACUUAUGUUUUGCCGAAACGGUUGCCCUGAAACGAACCGCAUAAUUACUGCAGUCAUCAGUAGCAUAUUUACUCUAGCUGGAACCUAAUUCUCAUAUCCCAUUAAGCUCAUGUGCAUAAAUCAACUAGGUUGAAGAGUGCUAUCAAUUUCCUCAAGAAGACCAGUUGAGAUAUUAUAUGCAUGAUGUGGAUUGUUGAGUUUGCUUGGUUAUUGGAAUGCCAUGCCUGUGCAGAUCAGCGGGGGCUGAGUCCAGGGUGAGACCUUCAAGAUGGAUUUGUUGUUACCGUUAUUUUAGUUUGCGGGUAGAGGAUAUGAUUCCAGCAAGACCGAGACAACGACGAUGAAAGGUGAGAUUUAUGUUAAGGAAUAUUAGCAGAUGUUCACAGGAUCACUGGAAGCAUAUAAAGGUAUCCACAAGGAUAGUUGCUUUCUUAUCGACUCAGAAUUAAAGUAUAGUUAUAGACAGUCAAGAGUAGUUGUCUUUUUAUUUAUUCGAAAACACAGUGUACCUUUUGUGAUCGUAGCUGUAUGCAAUGAUCCAUCAUGUAUUUUUUUUUCUAAACCACAACCCCUAAUUGUUUGAUGUCAUGAAAUGUCUAUGUUUUUUGUUUACAUUUUUAAGUUAGCUUCCAUACUACAGUAAACUGAUCUCUUGCCUUUCUUAUAACACUGCAUAUCAACUUCAUACCUAAAUAUCUAUUUCCUUAUGACUCAGUCGGUAUCUAAAUAUUCUAACGUGUAUGCUCUAAAUG
This 2069-nucleotide long non-coding RNA is filed under the name Triticum aestivum (bread wheat). Its description in RNAcentral is "long non-coding RNA (TAES_LNC020359)". The record is from RNAcentral. Lineage: Eukaryota; Viridiplantae; Streptophyta; Magnoliopsida; Poales; Poaceae.